This is a long non-coding RNA of Lepidothrix coronata (blue-crowned manakin), 2829 nucleotides long. RefSeq lists it as uncharacterized. The transcript has 4 exons. NCBI's taxonomy places the organism in Eukaryota, Metazoa, Chordata, Aves, Passeriformes, Pipridae. The record is from RefSeq and is a predicted model, not a curated record.
AUGAUGUUAUUUGGUUUAGGAUUUCUACUUUAUAGUUGCAAAAAGGAUAUAGGUAUAUAUAAUAUAGAGGGAACUUCUCAAAUCUAAAGCAGUAUGAUAAACUUCACAACUCUGUCAAACGGGUUUGCUGUAAGUAAAACAGAAUCUAUAGCAUACCCCUUGUUAUUCAAACCCUUCAUCAAUUAAUUUUAACUAUUUAAAUUGAAAUAUUUCUCAGUGAAGUACAUUGUUAACUGUUGCUCUUCUUCAAAGGCACUUACUUCCUAAUAUAUUUGAUAACUGCUGUGAAAAUAAGGUGCAUUUAACUGCUAUCAUGUGUAUGAAGUAUUAUAUAAAGCAGGGUGAUAUAUUUAAAAGGUGUUGUCUGUCAGCUAUUUAGAUCCCUAUUUACAGGGAUUUAGAUAGGCCUACCAGACACACUUAAAAUGUGAAUUUCUUUCUUCAAUACUAACCAAAACUAAUUGCUAUGUAUAAUGUAAACUUAAGUGGUGUGAUAAUAGGGAUCAGCCAAACCAUUUUUUAAGGAAAAAGUUAUUUUUUUUCCUCUUCCUACACUCGGAAUCUGUUGUCAAGCCACCCAAGCCUUGGUCUUAGAGCCACUUGCUCAUAACCAAUGCAUAAAUACUAUGAAACAUCCUCUGACAGUGGAAUUACACACAUCAUUCAACAGUUAAACCGUGAUGUAGACAUUAAACUGUUGUGUCUCAUUCCAUUACCAAGAUGUCUGAGUGAGGGUUCAGGUUUUAGAUAAUCAUAAAUGCUGGAUUUUUAUAUUGCUGCAACAAAUUUUUUUAUUCUGCAGCUGUGACAAAUCAAAUGAUGCAGCCUGAUCUGUAUGUCCAGACUGGGUUUUAGAAGCUAGUGGUUUGUGCAAUCAUUUUCUGUUUUGUUUAAUCUAGAUUGGCUACAUGGAUAUAGAAGAGCCCAGGUUCCGAGCACAGCCCUUUAAAGGUGUAAUAGUUAAAUUUUCAGGAUGUAAAAAAUACUUUAAUUUUCAGAAUUAAAGUAUUAAAACAAAGGCAACUAAACCUGGCAAAAGGAAAUGCAGUUUCAUACAGAGAAUGUAACUGCAAUAGAAAAAACAGACAUACAGCAUUAAAAUCAGAAAUGGAAUGUAUGGAUUUAUAACUGUCACUAAUAUCUCUCCACAUAUAUAUAAAAUUUUAUCACAGAUUUAUAACAGACUGUGAAUAACAAGAUUAAGAAAAUAAUACCUUGAAAAGAAAUAAAUUCAAGCCUUCACUGAAAUACCAAGAAACUCUUCAGGAUAUGAUAGCUCAAAAUGCAUUUUUCCUUAAGAAAAUGGGGAUAAAACUAAGAAAAUGGAAGGAAGUUUUAUAGUAGAAUACAUUAGCCAGACUAGAAAGAUCAUUAGACAUUUUUCAGAAACAUGAAUUUUUACUUUAUCAGCACUGGCCAGGAAACUUUCCUGACAUACUAGAAAAACAUCUGCAGAAACAAAUAUUUUAGGUAUACAAUAUGAUUUUUAAAAUUAAUUGUGGAACCCAGGGAUGUGUGUGGGGGUGUGGUACAGUGGGAAGCAGAUUAAAAAGAGAAUCCUUUAUCCAUACAUAGCCCUGAUAAUUAUGGCUAAAUGCAGGAUUUACAGCUGAACAUAUUGUUUGGUUUUGUUUUGGCAGCAAAUCCAGAUGAUGGUGUAUUAUGCUGAUCUUCUGAUAGCUAGGAUUACCUGUGAACUGCUGGCUCAGAAGAGAGCUCAUUUCUGUGAAACAGCAAGCACUGACCACUGCCUGAAGCAGUCUUCUAGAUGAGCUGAGGAAUGCAGAACCCAAGAAGUGAUUGGUGCAGUAAUGCAAAGAGGGGACCGGGAACAGAGCUCAGAUCUCCCAAAACUCAGCUGCUUCAUUUGUUUCUCAGGAUAGCACAAACCGCCCCCUCCAAACAUUUCUGAACUGGAAGAUCUCCUGUGGAAACCUGCAGCACUGACUAUAAUCACAAUUCCCCACAACAUGCAAAGCUAUGUUAUCAGUGGGUAUGGGAAGAGGACAGAGCUGAGAUGUAGGCCCUGCACAUCCUCUCCCUCCCAUGAAGGCUGUGGUGAGUGUCUGUCCCCACAGAUGCAUUUUUCCCACCUUUCUAUGGCAACCACACUGGAAGGUGAAUUACUUUAUGCCGUAGCAAAAGGAAUUCAACAUGGAGCAGCCUUAAAAGGAUUAGUCUCAGGGUUUUAGGUCAGCCUUGUGUUCUCUCUUAUACCUCUUUUUACACAGAGCCCUCACCUAUCAAGUUUCUCACGACAGCAAAUAGUGACAGCAUAGGUAGUCUGAUUAGCAUAAGGGAGUCACAACCCUAUCCAACUAAGUAGAAACAUGAAGAUACUUCAAGAUAAAGAGUAGUUACAGAAAAACCCUCCUUUUGUCUUUCUUAUGCCUCUGGAGGACUCCUGACAUGAUGUAAGUGUACUUUCUCGCUGACCUGCUGCCACCCAGGUGAGGUAUGUAGAGAUGAAUUUCACUUGUAAAGCAAACGUCUGACCUGCCAUCAGCAAUAAACCUGAGAAAUCAGACUGGAGACUUCUUAAAACCCCAAGCCAAUCCAAUCCCUCCAGAAAAACUGAUUGCAGCAUUUAGAAUGUGCUAUUUCUUUAGCGCAUGAACAAACUUAAUCAUCAGAGAGUCAGUUCAGAAGAGCAUGGUUCUGGCCAUAAGCAGCUUCUACUGAAAGAUGUCCUGCGGUGUGCUGGCCUACAUCCUACAUCUUGUGGCCCCUUCUCUGUCACCCCACAGACCAUGUAACACAGUCACUGCAGCAGUGCCAGCAGCUUUACUGAGCAGUGACUGUCAUACCCGAGUGCUGCUGACCUGACAC